AACACGUAGGAAUCUGCCUGACAGUGGGGGAUAACUUAGGGAAACUUAAGCUAAUACCGCAUACGCCCCAAGGGGGAAAGCGGGGGACUCUCGUAGCCUCGCGCUGACAGAUGAGCCUGCGUCGGAUUAGCUGGUUGGCGGGGUAAAAGCCCACCAAGGCAACGAUCCGUAGCUGGUCUGAGAGGACGAUCAGCCACACUGGGACUGAGACACGGCCCAGACUCCUACGGGAGGCAGCAGUGGGGAAUCUUGGACAAUGGGCGCAAGCCUGAUCCAGCAAUGCCGCGUGUGUGAAGAAGGCCUGCGGGUUGUAAAGCACUUUCAGUGGAGGAAGAAAUGCCAAAUACUAAUACCAUUUGGUUUUGACGCUACUCCAAGAAGAAGCACC
Molecule: ribosomal RNA, 388 nt
Filed under: Achromatium oxaliferum
Lineage: Bacteria; Pseudomonadati; Pseudomonadota; Gammaproteobacteria; Thiotrichales; Thiotrichaceae
Description: bacterial SSU rRNA
Rfam family: Bacterial small subunit ribosomal RNA
Source: RNAcentral